CCUACGGGAGGCAGCAGUGGGGAAUAUUGCACAAUGGGGGAAACCCUGAUGCAGCGACGCCGCGUGCGUGAAGAAGCGUUUCUGCGCGUAAAGCUCUGUCAGCGGGGAAGAAACACGGUUCGCGAGAGCCGCGGACAGUACCCGACCAAGAAGCCCCGGCUAAAUACGUGCCAGCAGCCGCGGUAAGACGUAGGGGGCAAGCGUGAUCCGGAUUCACUGGGUGUAAAGGGAGCGUAGACGGCGGGACAAGUCUGGAGUGAAAGACCGGGGCCCAACCCCGGGACUGCUCUGGAUACUGCCUGGCUAGAGUACAGGAGAGGUAAGCGGAAUUCCUAGUGUAGCGGUGAAAUGCGUAGAUAUUAGGAGGAACACCAGUGGCGAAGGCGGCUUACUGGACUGUAACUGACGUUGAGGCUCGAAAGCGUGGGGAGCAAACAGGAUUAGAUACCCGAGUAGUC
This 458-nucleotide ribosomal RNA is filed under the name uncultured bacterium. Its description in RNAcentral is "partial 16S ribosomal RNA". It matches the Rfam family "Bacterial small subunit ribosomal RNA", at positions 338 to 795 of the family's 1533-position model. The record is from RNAcentral.